RNAcentral lists this ribosomal RNA (427 nucleotides) under uncultured Hydrogenophaga sp. Its description in RNAcentral is "bacterial SSU rRNA". It matches the Rfam family "Bacterial small subunit ribosomal RNA", at positions 948 to 1382 of the family's 1533-position model. Lineage: Bacteria; Pseudomonadati; Pseudomonadota; Betaproteobacteria; Burkholderiales; Comamonadaceae. The record is from RNAcentral.
AAUUCGAUGCAACGUCGAAAACCUUACCACCUUUGACAUGGCAGGAAGUUACCAGAGAUGGUUCGUGCUCGAAAGAGAACCUGCACACAGGUGCUGCAUGGCUGUCGUCAGCUCGUGUCGUGAGAUGUUGGGUUAAGUCCCGCAACGAGCGCAACCCUUGCCAUCAGUUGCUACGAAAGGGCACUCUGAUGGGACUGCCGGUGACAAACCGGAGGAAGUGGGGAUGACGUCAAGUCCUCAUGGCCCUUAUAGGUGGGGCUACACACGUCAUACAAUGGCCGGUACAAAGGGCAGCCAACCCGCGAGGGGGAGCCAAUCCCAUAAAGCCGGUCGUAGUCCGGAUCGCAGUCUGCAACUCGACUGCGUGAAGUCGGAAUCGCUAGUAAUCGUGGAUCAGCAUGUCACGGUGAAUACGUUCCCGGGUCUU